UGAGUAACCUGCCCCUGACUUCGGGAUAAGCCCGGGAAACUGGGUCUAAUACCGGAUACGACUGCCGGACGCAUGUCUGGUGGUGGAAAGUUUUUUCGGUUGGGGAUGGGCUCGCGGCCUAUCAGUUUGUUGGUGAGGUAAUGGCUCACCAAGACGACGACGGGUAGCCGGCCUGAGAGGGCGACCGGCCACACUGGGACUGAGACACGGCCCAGACUCCUACGGGAGGCAGCAGUGGGGAAUAUUGCACAAUGGGGGAAACCCUGAUGCAGCGACGCAGCGUGCGGGAUGACGGCCUUCGGGUUGUAAACCGCUUUCAGCAGGGAAGAAGCGCAAGUGACGGUACCUGCAGAAGAAGUACCGGCUAACUACGUGCCAGCAGCCGCGGUAAUACGUAGGGUACGAGCGUUGUCCGGAAUUAUUGGGCGUAAAGAGCUCGUAGGUGGUUGGUCACGUCUGCUGUGGAAACGCAACGCUUAACGUUGCGCGUGCAGUGGGUACGGGCUGACUAGAGUGCAGUAGGGGAGUCUGGAAUUCCUGGUGUAGCGGUGAAAUGCGCAGAUAUCAGGAGGAACACCGGUGGCGAAGGCGGGACUCUGGGCUGUAACUGACACUGAGGAGCGAAAGCAUGGGGAGCGAACAGGAUUAGAUACCCUGGUAGUCCAUGCCGUAAACGUUGGGCACUAGGUGUGGGGGGCAUUCCACGUUCUCCGCGCCGUAGCUAACGCAUUAAGUGCCCCGCCUGGGGAGUACGGUCGCAAGGCUAAAACUCAAAGGAAUUGACGGGGGCCCGCACAAGCGGCGGAGCAUGCGGAUUAAUUCGAUGCAACGCGAAGAACCUUACCAAGGCUUGACAUACACCAGACCGUCCUGGAAACAGGUCCUCUUCUUUGAAGCUGGUGUACAGGUGGUGCAUGGUUGUCGUCAGCUCGUGUCGUGAGAUGUUGGGUUAAGUCCCGCAACGAGCGCAACCCUCGUUCUAUGUUGCCAGCACGUGAUGGUGGGAACUCAUAGGAGACUGCCGGGGUCAACUCGGAGGAAGGUGGGGAUGACGUCAAAUCAUCAUGCCCUUUAUGUCUUGGGCUUCACGCAUGCUACAAUGGCUGGUACAGAGAGAGGCG
RNAcentral lists this ribosomal RNA (1121 nucleotides) under Brevibacterium casei. RNAcentral's name for it is "bacterial SSU rRNA". It matches the Rfam family "Bacterial small subunit ribosomal RNA", at positions 118 to 1251 of the family's 1533-position model. The record is from RNAcentral. Lineage: Bacteria; Bacillati; Actinomycetota; Actinomycetes; Micrococcales; Brevibacteriaceae.